GAUGAACGCUGGCGGCGUGCCUAAUACAUGCAAGUAGAACGCUGAAGCUUGGUGCUUGCACCGAGCGGAUGAGUUGCGAACGGGUGAGUAACGCGUAGGUAACCUGCCUCUUAGCGGGGGAUAACUAUUGGAAACGAUAGCUAAUACCGCAUAAAAGUCGAUAUCGCAUGAUAUUGAUUUGAAAGGUGCAAAUGCAUCACUAAGAGAUGGACCUGCGUUGUAUUAGCUAGUUGGUGAGGUAACGGCUCACCAAGGCGACGAUACAUAGCCGACCUGAGAGGGUGAUCGGCCACACUGGGACUGAGACACGGCCCAGACUCCUACGGGAGGCAGCAGUAGGGAAUCUUCGGCAAUGGGGGCAACCCUGACCGAGCAACGCCGCGUGAGUGAAGAAGGUUUUCGGAUCGUAAAGCUCUGUUGUAAGAGAAGAACGAGUGUGAGAGUGGAAAGUUCACACUGUGACGGUAGCUUACCAGAAAGGGACGGCUAACUACGUG
This 497-nucleotide ribosomal RNA is filed under the name uncultured bacterium. RNAcentral describes it as "partial 16S ribosomal RNA". It matches the Rfam family "Bacterial small subunit ribosomal RNA", at positions 28 to 507 of the family's 1533-position model. The record is from RNAcentral.